This 543-nucleotide ribosomal RNA is filed under the name Galathea squamifera. RNAcentral describes it as "partial 16S large subunit ribosomal RNA". It matches the Rfam family "Bacterial large subunit ribosomal RNA", at positions 1802 to 2610 of the family's 2925-position model. The record is from RNAcentral. Lineage: Eukaryota; Metazoa; Arthropoda; Malacostraca; Decapoda; Galatheidae.
GUUUAACANAAACAUGUCUGUAUGUAGGUAUAUAGAGUCUGGCCUGCCCAUUGAAUAAAAUUAAAGGCCGCGGUAUAUUAACUGUGCAAAGGUAGCAUAAUCAUUAGUUUUUUAAUUGAAGGCUUGUAUGAAGGGUUGGACAAAGAAUAAGCUGUCUUUAUUUUUGUUUUUGAAUUUGUCUUUUAAGUGAAAAGGCUUAAAUGAAUUUAAGGGACGAUAAGACCCUAUAAAUCUUUAUAUUAUGUUGUUUUUAUAUUAAUUUUUAAAUGUAAAUGAAAAUAAAAAUAUAAAAUAUUGUGUUGGGGUGAUAAGAAUAAAAAAAAACUGUUCUAAAUUAUAAACAAAGUUGUUUGAAGUAAAAGAUAGUAGAUCCUUUUUAGAGAUUAAAAGUUUAAGUUACUUUAGGGAUAACAGCGUUAUUUUUUUUGAGAGUUCUAAUCGAAAAAAAAGUUUGCGACCUCGAUGUUGAAUUAAAAUUUCUUUAAGGUGUAGCCGCUUUAAGAGAGAGUCUGUUCGACUUUUAAAAUUUUACAUGAUCUGAGU